GGGCAGAAUUCUCCUUCAAUUAGCAUAUAGAACAGCGUCUAAUCUCGUGAUAACCAAUGGGAGCUUUUACAAAAACAAGUUAAACAAAACGGACAUGGUUAUCGGCUUUUUUGCGAUAAGAGUUGUGUACAAAAAGCAGAGAGUUGGGCUUUUUCAUCUUUUUCUUCUGGGCUUCAGUAACAUUUUUAUCCUUGUACCAGUCCCUCAGACAGGCUAAGUGCACCCCAGGAGUCUUUGUUCAGAGACAAGAUGAUGAAGUUAGUGGUGAUCUGCCUUCUCUUCUUCCUGACACCUCUUCACAGCCAGGGUCACAACUCCAGUCCCUGUAAAUCCACAACCAACAACAACGGUUACAACGACUUCAGAAAAAAACAUUUCCCCCAAGGCUUCCCGA
Lepisosteus oculatus (spotted gar) is the source of this 394-nucleotide long non-coding RNA. RefSeq lists it as uncharacterized. Lineage: Eukaryota; Metazoa; Chordata; Actinopteri; Semionotiformes; Lepisosteidae. The record is from RefSeq and is a predicted model, not a curated record.